GCUCAGGAUGAACGCUAGCUACAGGCUUAACACAUGCAAGUCGAGGGGUAGCAGGGUAGCAAUACCGCUGACGACCGGCGCACGGGUGAGUAACACGUAUCCAACCUUCCCAUAACUCGGGGAUAGCCUUUCGAAAGAAAGAUUAAUACCCGAUAGUACUUUUCCAAGGCAUCUUGAAAAAGUUAAAGAUUUAUUGGUUAUGGAUGGGGAUGCGUUCCAUUAGAUAGUUGGUGAGGUAACGGCUCACCAAGUCUUCGAUGGAUAGGGGUUCUGAGAGGAAGGUCCCCCACAUUGGUACUGAGACACGGACCAAACUCCUACGGGAGGCAGCAGUGAGGAAUAUUGGUCAAUGGGCGAGAGCCUGAACCAGCCA
RNAcentral lists this ribosomal RNA (373 nucleotides) under uncultured Bacteroidales bacterium. Its description in RNAcentral is "bacterial SSU rRNA". It matches the Rfam family "Bacterial small subunit ribosomal RNA", at positions 22 to 394 of the family's 1533-position model. The record is from RNAcentral. Lineage: Bacteria; Pseudomonadati; Bacteroidota; Bacteroidia; Bacteroidales.